AGGUGAGCCUGGCAGUAGUGGUUGCCAUAGCUAAACUUCUACUGUUUCUCCUCGCACUGUAAAUUUAGGGACACAUUUCUGGCAGGCGUCCACGGUGCCACCAAGGAAGCCAAGGGUGCUGCCUGGAUGGGUUCAUCACUUUGGCUGGCAUGCCUGUCACCUCUCCAAGGUUGCCACGAAAAGUAAAACGUGUUUUACGGAUCAUCGUUACAUUCCAGCGCCUCUUAAUUGCCUACGAAAUGUUUACUUAACCUCUACACACCAAGAAAUGAGACUUCAGUUCAUAAUCGUGCAUGAGGAGAAUAAUAUUUUGAAAUCCGCGCCAUGACGUCACAGCAGAGUCAUCCUGCGCGCGCAGGCCAGUGUGUGCGGCGGUAUGUUUGUUUUGAGUGUCGUGUCAAUGGUAUGUGAACUUCUAACGUUUUAUUAGUUAUUUUCCCAACCAUGGUGCGUGACAUGGUGGCGGGAGGUGUAAUGGUGCACGGCGCGAUGGUGAGACAUGGUGGUAAUGGUGCAGAGCGAUGAAAUGCUGAAAUUACUGGCGGUGGCAGGGAGGCGUGGCGGCAGGACGGUGUAGUGAUGAUGACUUCCUUGGCAAGUACAGUACGAACCACUCUUGCCCGGCUAUCAGCGACGCCGUCUGCGUGCCGGGGUUGGUGGCGCGGCCCUGUAAUCCGGCGACGCGGAGGCUUGGCCCAGUGGACGGCUUGAGGCGAGGGUGGCUGCUGCGGGACUCCCCAUGUUGAGUGGGCGUCCGCACUAAGCUCGGCAUCAAUAUGGCCGCCCCUGGGGAGCCGGGGGCGUCCAGGUUGCCUAAGGAGGUGUGAACCAGGCCAGGGGGGAAACCCAGCAGCCAAAAGCACCCGUGUGGAGCAGCAGUGGGAUCGCGCCCGUGAGUGGGCGGCGCGCAGUAGCCUUGCCAACACAGGCGAACCUGGUACUUUUAUUUUA
Scylla paramamosain (green mud crab) is the source of this 951-nucleotide long non-coding RNA. RefSeq lists it as uncharacterized. The transcript is spliced from 2 exons. NCBI's taxonomy places the organism in Eukaryota, Metazoa, Arthropoda, Malacostraca, Decapoda, Portunidae. The record is from RefSeq and is a predicted model, not a curated record.